RNAcentral lists this ribosomal RNA (1489 nucleotides) under Metamycoplasma orale. Its description in RNAcentral is "Mycoplasma orale 16S ribosomal RNA". It matches the Rfam family "Bacterial small subunit ribosomal RNA". The record is from RNAcentral. Lineage: Bacteria; Bacillati; Mycoplasmatota; Mycoplasmoidales; Metamycoplasmataceae.
AACGCUGGCUGUGUGCCUAAUACAUGCAUGUCGAGCGGAAGUAGCAAUACUUUAGCGGCGAAUGGGUGAGUAACACGUGCUUAAUCUACCUUUUAGAUUGGAAUACCUAAUGGAAACAUUGGUUAAUGCCGGAUACGCAUGAAGUCGCAUGACUUCGUUGUGAAAGGAGCGUUUGCUCCGCUAAGAGAUGAGGGUGCGGAACAUUAGCUAGUUGGUGAGGUAAUGGCCCACCAAGGCUAUGAUGUUUAGCCGGGUCGAGAGACUGAACGGCCACAUUGGGACUGAGAUACGGCCCAAACUCCUACGGGAGGCAGCAGUAGGGAAUAUUCCACAAUGAGCGAAAGCUUGAUGGAGCGACACAGCGUGCACGAUGAAGGCCCUCGGGUUGUAAAGUGCUGUUGCAAGGGAAGAACAGUUAGUUGAGGAAAUGCUUCUAAUCUGACGGUACCUUGUUAGAAAGCGAUGGCUAACUAUGUGCCAGCAGCCGCGGUAAUACAUAGGUCGCAAGCGUUAUCCGGAAUUAUUGGGCGUAAAGCGUUCGUAGGCUGUUUAUUAAGUCUGGAGUCAAAUCCCAGGGCUCAACCCUGGCUCGCUUUGGAUACUGGUAAACUAGAGUUAGAUAGAGGUAAGCGGAAUUCCAUGUGGAGCGGUGAAAUGCGUAGAUAUAUGGAAGAACACCAAAGGCGAAGGCAGCUUACUGGGUCUAUACUGACGCUGAGGGACGAAAGCGUGGGGAGCAAACAGGAUUAGAUACCCUGGUAGUCCACGCUGUAAACGAUGAUCAUUAGUCGGUGGAAAACUACUGACGCAGCUAACGCAUUAAAUGAUCCGCCUGAGUAGUAUGCUCGCAAGAGUGAAACUUAAAGGAAUUGACGGGGACCCGCACAAGCGGUGGAGCAUGUGGUUUAAUUUGAUGAUACGCGGAGAACCUUACCCACUCUUGACAUCCCCUGCAAAGCUAUAGAGAUAUAGUGGAGGUUAACAGGGUGACAGAUGGUGCAUGGUUGUCGUCAGCUCGUGUCGUGAGAUGUUUGGUCAAGUCCUGCAACGAGCGCAACCCCUAUCUUUAGUUACUAACGAGUCAUGUCGAGGACUCUAGAGAUACUGCCUGGGUAACCGGGAGGAAGGUGGGGAUGACGUCAAAUCAUCAUGCCUCUUACGAGUGGGGCUACACACGUGCUACAAUGGUCGGUACAAAGAGAAGCAAUAUGGCGACAUGGAGCAAAUCUCAAAAAGCCGAUCUCAGUUCGGAUUGAAGUCUGCAAUUCGACUUCAUGAAGUCGGAAUCGCUAGUAAUCGCAGAUCAGCUACGCUGCGGUGAAUACGUUCUCGGGUCUUGUACACACCGCCCGUCACACCAUGGGAGCUGGUAAUACCCAAAGUCGGUUUGCUAACCUCGGAGGCGACUGCCUAAGGUAGGACUGGUGACUGGGGUGAAGUCGUAACAAGGUAUCCCUACGAGAACGUGGGGAUGGAUUACCUCCUUUCU